RNAcentral lists this ribosomal RNA (447 nucleotides) under uncultured bacterium. Its description in RNAcentral is "bacterial SSU rRNA". It matches the Rfam family "Bacterial small subunit ribosomal RNA", at positions 28 to 457 of the family's 1533-position model. The record is from RNAcentral.
GAUGAACGCUGGCGGCGUGCUUAACACAUGCAAGUCGAGCGAAGCACUUUGGAAAGAUUCUUCGGAUGAUUUCCUUUGCGACUGAGCGGCGGACGGGUGAGUAACGCGUGGGUAACCUGCCUCAUACAGGGGGAUAACAGUUAGAAAUGACUGCUAAUACCGCAUAAGACCACGGUACCGCAUGGUACAGUGGUAAAAACUCCGGUGGUAUGAGAUGGACCCGCGUCUGAUUAGGUAGUUGGUGGGGUAACGGCCUACCAAGCCGACGAUCAGUAGCCGACCUGAGAGGGUGACCGGCCACAUUGGGACUGAGACACGGCCCAGACUCCUACGGGAGGCAGCAGUGGGGAAUAUUGCACAAUGGAGGAAACUCUGAUGCAGCGACGCCGCGUGAAGGAUGAAGUAUUUCGGUAUGUAAAGCUCUAUCAGCAGGGAAGAUAAUGACGG